GUUGUAGUUUUGGUAAAUAACAAGUUUCUAUACUAUCUCCGCCCAAACAAUACCUCCGAAAUCUCAGGGCCCUGCUCCUACUGCCAUCCUCGACUCUCAAAGCUCAACAAAUAAUCCAUCAAUUGAAGAAAGAUGGACUGCAGUAGCGUUCAACAAAAAGAAAGGUAAAAAAGGAUCCUUAUUCCAUCAACCUCACCAUAAGGAGGUAAGUAAUCUCCACAUGAAUACUCCAAUCAACAACAAGGAGGGCAUUAACGUCAAAAUCUUUAGCGCGGAUACAGGGAUCCACUACAGAAAAAGGGGAACCUGCAGAUUAUCCACGAAGAUAGAAGUGCAAAUGUUGUUGCUGACAUACUAGCGAAGGAGGGCCAUAAGUUGGUGCAGGGAGGUUUUUGUGAAGAAUGGAUAGUUCCACCCAUGUUUGUUCGACAUCAGUUGGAAGCAGACAAGGCGGGAACUUCUUCUAUGGGGCACUGUAUGCCACUAUCUCUAGAUGGUUGUAAUUGUAUUAGCAGACAAAUAUGUAUGUGUAGUGUUAGGGUGGACCCUUCCCCAGUUAGAUCUUUGCCUUUGAAAUGUACUGAAGCUUUUAACUUUA
This is a long non-coding RNA of Capsicum annuum, 598 nucleotides long. RefSeq lists it as uncharacterized. NCBI's taxonomy places the organism in Eukaryota, Viridiplantae, Streptophyta, Magnoliopsida, Solanales, Solanaceae. The transcript is spliced from 2 exons. The record is from RefSeq and is a predicted model, not a curated record.